GGGCCCAUAGCUCAGUUGGUCAGAGCAGCGGACUCAUAAUCCGUUGGUCGCAGGUUCUUGUCCUGCUGGGCCCA
RNAcentral lists this transfer RNA (74 nucleotides) under Acidobacteriota bacterium. RNAcentral describes it as "Acidobacteria bacterium (groundwater metagenome) tRNA-Ile". It matches the Rfam family "tRNA". From Rfam's summary of the family: Transfer RNA (tRNA) molecules are approximately 80 nucleotides in length. The record is from RNAcentral. Lineage: Bacteria; Pseudomonadati; Acidobacteriota.